CCAUAGAACCAAUCAUGUCCGGGUAGCAAGCCACGCCCCUUAGCAACCCGCAACUCAAAGCCCCGCCCCUUAGCAACCACGCAGCAGCGCGGUGCACGCUGGGAUAUACACCCCUCCAUGCAUCCCUUAUGGGGGCGGCCAUUUUGAGGGCGGUGCCGCCAUCUUGAGGGCGUCGCCGCCGUUUUUCCCCACCUCGCCCCGCUUUUCUUUGUUUUGCCCAAUUUUGUCCCAAUUUUGCCCUAUUUUUCCCCUAAUUACGCCAGUUUACUCCAGUGUUCCCCGUGCUGCUCCAACUUCUUAUCAUUUUGCUCCAAUUUUUCCCCUUUUUCCACAGUUCUGCCCUAUUUUGUCCUAAUUUUGCCCCAUUUCUCCCCCAAUUGCCUCCAAUUUUCCUUAUUUUUCCAAUUUCUCCCAAUUUUUCCCCGUUUUUCCCCAGUUUCUCCCAUUUGCUCCGAAUUUUGCCUCGAUUUUUCCCAAUUUUCCGCUAAUNNNNNNNNNNNNNNNNNNNNNNUUUUCCCCCCAAUUUUACCCCAUUCUGUCCUGAUUUACCCAUUACUCCCAAUCACCCCCAUUUUUGCCUCUUUUCCCAAUUCUUCCCCAAUUUGCCCCAAUUUUUUCCCUAUUUUUCCAAUUUUUUCACCAACUUACCCCAAUUUUUCACCUUUUUUCCCCAAUUCUUCUCCCAUUCCCUCAUUUUGCCCCCAUUUUUCCACAAUUUCCUGGGCCUCGCUGCCAUUUGUGGGCCCUGUCGCCAUUUUGAAGGCACCGCCGCCAUUUUUUUCCCCAUUCCCGCCAUUCUGUGGGCGUGGCUGCCAGUUUGAUGGCACCGCCGCCAUUUUUUUUGCCCUUCCCGCCAUUUUGAGGGCGUGGCCGCCAUUUUUCCCCCAUUCCCGCCAUUUUGAGGGCGCGGCCGCCAUUUUUUCCCCAUUCCCGCCAUUUUGAGGGCGCGGCCGCCAUUUUUCCCCCAUUCCCGCCAUUUUGUGUGCACCGCCGCCAUCUUGAAAGCCUGGAAAAAACACGCUUGCGAGCCACAAAAACCUCUUUAUUCUCCUCCUCACCCCUCCGUUCCCCCUUUUUGCCCCUCUACUCCUCCCUUCUGCCCUUCCAUCACCAUUUCAGACCCUGCUUUUUGCCCCUCCCCCUUUUCC
Molecule: long non-coding RNA, 1148 nt
Filed under: Phasianus colchicus (ring-necked pheasant)
Lineage: Eukaryota; Metazoa; Chordata; Aves; Galliformes; Phasianidae
Description: lncRNA (ENSPCLG00000017743.1)
Source: RNAcentral